RNAcentral lists this long non-coding RNA (1815 nucleotides) under Gadus morhua (Atlantic cod). Its description in RNAcentral is "lncRNA (ENSGMOG00000022211.1)". The record is from RNAcentral. Lineage: Eukaryota; Metazoa; Chordata; Actinopteri; Gadiformes; Gadidae.
AGCCUACCGCCGAUACAGCCACACCAGCAGAUGGAGGAACACAGCUGUGGCAGAGAACAGGUGGAGGGGGAGGAGAGAGGAGCAGGAAUGGAGAUGAUACCAAGAUUUGAGAUUUUGUUCCACAUGGACCUUAUGGAACAUGCAGGCCUACAUAAUGUGCAAACAUGUGGAAUAAAGGAGAACCAUGUGUCGUGGGUCAGCCUCCCAUUCACCUCACAGGUGGUCAGUCACAUCUGCUCUCUCCCACACCCACACCCACACACACACACACACACACACACACACACACACACACACACACACACACACACACACACACACUCACACACUGUUGUGAAUCUUGCAGUACAGCGCCCCCUGACGAAGAUGUUGUCUCACUACAAUUUAUUGUAUGCGUUUACAAAAAUUCGGCUGUUUUUCGAACUACAGACUACAUCAAGUUGUGCAUCUUGAGGACAUAAAGAGUUUCCUAGGUUUAUAAAUGUGCGUGAGCUAGAGGAAAAUAACUACUGUAAAUGUGAUCUUAUAAAUUAAAUGUAUAUAUUAGGCCUAUAUAUAUAUAUAUAUAUAUAACAUUUUAGAUAUAGAGGUUCAACGUUUUAAUUAACCAUAAUUAACCAUAAUUAACCAUUACAGUACACAUACUAUUCUAUCAGACGUUCCUACUAAAUGAUUUGCUUUAUGGCAGAUAGCUUAAUAACAACAUGGCAAAAAAAAUGACUACUGUUCAGUGGAACAGUAUAAUGUAAUAUUUGCUCUGAAUCUUCAUUUUGACAGGCUGUAGAAAUCACAAAAUGAACUAUGAACGAAGACAGUAUCUCUUUUAUAUCUUUUCUGUGUGUUGUGUGACUUCGAAUAAUGAUUCAAAGAAAGCGCUAUUACCCAUUUUAUGAGGUCUAUUGAUGUUACCUGCUGUCACUGAGUUUGUCAUUAUUUAGCUUUGAGUGACAUCUAGUGGCAUUUGAGUGAAAAUAUCUUCACCAUAACGGCACAAGGCAACGUGCAUGGACCGUUGUAAUCCACCAGGUGGAAAUAGAGUCAAGGCCUGUAUUCACAGUCAUUAGAUUAGAUUAAACAUUUAGUCUCUGCGUGUGUGUGUGUGUGUGUGUGUGUGUGUGUGUGUGUGUGUGUGUGUGUGUGUGUGUGUGUGUGUGUGUGUGUGUGUGUGUGUGUGUGUGUGUGUGUGUGUGUGUGUGUGUGUGUGUGUGUGUACACAUGAACACAGGAAAAUACUAACUUAAUAUCAAACAUUGGAUUCCAAACUUUUUGGCAACAUAUUAAAGCAAAUUCAGCAACAUCAUCCACAAUUAUAUGAUUAAAAAUGAAAGAAUUACAUAUAACAGAGGAUGGAAUUGUGUCAGCGCUAAAAACGAAAGACCACUAAACAUAUGUUGUUUAAAGAAAAAGGUUUUAGAAAAAACUAAUUAUAAUUCUUAAAUAUAAAGUAUUACUAUUGUACUAGUUACAUUUUUGCACAAUUCUAUUUGAAUAAGAGAUCAUAAUUAUGUCAUAUCAUAAUGCCAUAUCGCUGCCAUAUUAUUGCAACAUGUUUUUCAAGUAGCUAUAACAAGCGUUCGUAAAUAAUGAUUAAAAAAAUAACAUGUGUCGUCUUUUGAUGGCGUCAUCACGGGGAUUUUCCGGAUACGUCGCACGGGGCUUCUCCAUAACCGCGUUAGCUUAAAUCCUCAAAUAUAAAAACAGUGGCUUUAUUAACAAACCAACCUCAAAGGAGUACAGGGUAAGAUAAACGAAGAGGACAGCUUUCUCACAUGGCGACGAAUGGACAAAAUAACAAAGCGUCGGUGUGAACAGCGA